Mycena latifolia is the source of this 81-nucleotide non-coding RNA. The record is from the annotation of a GenBank genome assembly. NCBI's taxonomy places the organism in Eukaryota, Fungi, Basidiomycota, Agaricomycetes, Agaricales, Mycenaceae.
GGCUCGGUAGCGCUCGGUGCGCAUCUGCCUCCCAUUCGUAUUGGUGAGCAGACGAGGCCUGUUCGACUCAGGCCUGAGCCG